Molecule: ribosomal RNA, 465 nt
Filed under: uncultured Lactobacillus sp.
Lineage: Bacteria; Bacillati; Bacillota; Bacilli; Lactobacillales; Lactobacillaceae
Description: bacterial SSU rRNA
Rfam family: Bacterial small subunit ribosomal RNA
Source: RNAcentral
CCUACGGGCGGCAGCAGUAGGGAAUCUUCCACAAUGGACGCAAGUCUGAUGGAGCAACGCCGCGUGAGUGAAGAAGGGUUUCGGCUCGUAAAGCUCUGUUGGUAGUGAAGAAAGAUAGAGGUAGUAACUGGCCUUUAUUUGACGGUAAUUACUUAGAAAGUCACGGCUAACUACGUGCCAGCAGCCGCGGUAAUACGUAGGUGGCAAGCGUUGUCCGGAUUUAUUGGGCGUAAAGCGAGUGCAGGCGGUUCAAUAAGUCUGAUGUGAAAGCUUUCGGCUCAACCGGAGAAUUGCAUCAGAAACUGUUGAACUUGAGGUCAGAAGAGGAGAGUGGAACUCCAUGUGUAGCGGUGGAAUGCGUAGAUAUAUGGAAGAACACCAGUGGCGAAGGCGGCUCUCUGGUCUGCAACUGACGCUGAGGCUCGAAAGCAUGGGUAGCGAACAGGAUUAGAUACCCCAGUAGUC